Passer montanus (Eurasian tree sparrow) is the source of this 2070-nucleotide long non-coding RNA. RefSeq lists it as uncharacterized. The transcript has 7 exons. The record is from RefSeq and is a predicted model, not a curated record. NCBI's taxonomy places the organism in Eukaryota, Metazoa, Chordata, Aves, Passeriformes, Passeridae.
CUCCUCCUCCCCCGCCGCCGCGGCUGAGGCGGGGCGCCGCCGGCGGGGGCCUCCUUACGCCGCCUCCGUAGCGCCCCGCCCCCGCUGGCCGGCCGAUGGCGUAAACCCCUUCGGGAAUCCUGGCGCGCCGCUCCUCCUGCGCAACCUGCGUGCGGCUUGGCCAUGCGGUUGCGCCACCUUCGUAAAUCGGUAUGGGAAUAGCGCUCCUCCUGGAAACUUGCGUGCGGCCCGGCAAUGCCGCUACGUCACCUGCGUAACUCGGCACGAGAAUAGCGUAGGCGGCGGCGGGCGGCGCGUCGUGAGGGGAGAUGGCGGGGCAGAGGCUCCCUCACGGCACCGCCGGGCCGAGGCCUCCGCGAACGGGCUGGGCCGGGCCAACCGGGCCCCCAGGCCGCGGGAUGGAGAGGUGCAGUUUCCACAUCAAUGCAGUGGAUGCUGCUGAGGAGGAACCACCUCAGUUUGAUUUUGUGAAGUGCUGGUGUUCAGCCUCCAUGGGCAGUUCUGGCAGUGCACUGGAAUAAGGCUGCAAAGCUCAGUCUUUGAGAGGUGCUGCCAAUGUCGUGACAUUCUGGCUGGCUGAGGUGUUUGGUUCUGCUGGGAGACCCCUCCAUCCUCUUCCUGGUCAGCAAAGGGACACCACUGAGCCCUGGAAGAAUGACUGGGUGGAGGGUGAGGGUGCUGAGAGUGGAAUUGUUCUGUGUGUGAGAGUAAAUCUGGAUGAACAUCCCUUACCCCUUGCUGAUGGAGCACUGCCCUUCACACCAAAUAGGCUUGAAAGACGAGCAUGCAUCUGCCUGACAGCUUUGAGAGCGAGCCAUCCCUGCCAGCCAAAGCAGAUUCUCUGUGCCUGCUUCCAAGCAGCACGAGCUGAAACAACUGGUGGCAGAGUGGGGUGUCUCUACAGUCCUAGCCACGAAGAGAGGAGAUGAAACAUCCUCCUGCUCGCAGCACAGGGAAGAGGCUGGAGCUGGGCUGCUUUCUCCACACCUGUAGAACUGUGGUGAAAUGGGGAUUCUUUGUGUUUCAUUGGCUUCUCUGAGGAAAACAGCAACCACGAGAUGAGACAGAGCCUCGGGGAUAAAGGACACUUGGAGCACCUGUACUGAAAGAGAGAAGGUGAAGAAGCCUGUGAGCAUUCCCUGCCUCCUCUGGUCUUAUGCAGAUUCUAAACACAGGUCUGAACGCGAGCGCGAUGGCAACUCUGUGCUCCGUCUGCCAGGGCUCCAACCGCUCCUCUCCAUCCUCCACCUUCUUUUUCCAAAGUAACAAAGCCAUGGAUUUCCUCCACCCCUUCCCUGCGCCUCCCCUCCCCCUCGCUGGCACCGGGGUUAUUUAUACAGAAUGUGGAAACAAUUUGCAGGAAAGUGAACAAUGUAAGUGGGAGCGAGGGAAGGGAGGCAAGUUCGUAGUGCACGCUGAGAGCCCCAGCAGUGAAAGGCUGCUUUUUGGGGAGCACAGGGAGCAGACUGGUUUCCUUUCUUCCUUCUCCCCUCUCUCACCAUCUCCCUGAGCUCCUUCUGUCCUGCUGGAGUCGAGGCCAAACCAGAGCAACCAGAUCUGAGUGCGUUUUGGAGGACGUUCAGGUUGGAUCCCGCCCUGCAGCGCAGCUCCGUGAGGCGGUGUCUGUGUUCUCAGUCCCCUCGGAGGUUCUGCUCUCGGAUCACUCCUGCUCCUGGAUUAGCAUUAAUGAAGAGCAUGUGUGCUCCAGAGGUCCUGCUCCAGGCCCUGGAGCUGCAGCACUGCCUGGUGUUAGACACAGCUAUUCCCAGGAACAGCUCAGCUCAAAGAGGACAUUUCUGGGAGUGAACGGGGCAGGAACUUCUUGCAAAGUCUAAUUUCAGUCUUUCUGCCCUCACCUGCUCAGCACUGCAUUUCCAGGGCAUCCCAGCACCUUGCUGGCUCCAUUGGGAGCAUGUCUGUAAAUCCAGCAGUUUCCAUGAGUGCUCUGGGCUGGGGAAGCUGAACCAGCACUCACUCAGCACCUCUGAGCAGUUCUGGGCUCUUCAGGCCUUGCUCUGCACGGUGAAGUCCUCAAAGGGAGAUGAUCCAAACACACACAUCCUUUGGGGA